GACAGAGGUGCCAAGCGUUAGGCGGAAUCACUGGGCUUAAAGCGUGUGUAGGCGGAUGCCUAAGUACCUUGUGAAAUCCCACGGCUCAACCGUGGAACUGCUUGGUAUACUGGGUGUCUUGAGCCAUCUAGGGGCUACCGGAACAAAUGGUGGAGCGGUGAAAUGCGUAGAUAUCGAGAGGAACACCAGUGGCGAAGGCGGCUCACUGGCCCGAUACUGACGCUGAGGCACGAAAGCGUGGGGAGCAAACAGG
RNAcentral lists this ribosomal RNA (253 nucleotides) under uncultured bacterium. Its description in RNAcentral is "partial 16S ribosomal RNA". It matches the Rfam family "Bacterial small subunit ribosomal RNA", at positions 524 to 776 of the family's 1533-position model. The record is from RNAcentral.